RNAcentral lists this ribosomal RNA (253 nucleotides) under uncultured bacterium. Its description in RNAcentral is "partial 16S ribosomal RNA". It matches the Rfam family "Bacterial small subunit ribosomal RNA", at positions 524 to 776 of the family's 1533-position model. The record is from RNAcentral.
UACGGGGGGGGCAAGCGUUGUUCGGAAUUACUGGGCGUAAAGGGCUCGUAGGUGGCCAACUAAGUCAGACGUGAAAUCCCUCGGCUCAGCCGGGGAACUGCGUCUGAUACUGGAUGGCUUGAAUCCGGGAGAGGGAUGCGGAAUUCCAGGUGUAGCGGUGAAAUGCGUAGAUAUCUGGAGGAACACCGGUGGCGAAGGCGGCAUCCUGGACCGGUAUUGACACUGAGGAGCGAAAGCCAGGGGAGCAAACGGG